GGCUUGGUGGCAUAAUGGUAACGCGCUCCGUGUCCUUUACAGUAUUUGUAUAUCGUUUGACGGAAAGUUUGGAGUUCAAUUAUCCGUCAAGCCA
Molecule: non-coding RNA, 94 nt
Organism: Mycena latifolia
Lineage: Eukaryota; Fungi; Basidiomycota; Agaricomycetes; Agaricales; Mycenaceae
Source: the annotation of a GenBank genome assembly